UGUGCGUGUGUGUGGCUUUCAAAAAGCAGAGGGGAGAAAAUCACUGAAUUGCAUACAUUGCAGUUUGAAUCAGGACUCACACUGCAUGGGGUUCUAUGGCUAUGGCAAAAAGUAGAGGAGACAAAGGGCAUCCCUGCUGUGUGCCUCUGAUUUCUCUUUUUGUUAUGGGCUGAGGAAAUGGAUAUGAUCUUUCCUCUAACCAUGGCUUUCAUUGCAUCCCAUACGACAUCUACUGAGACUCCACAAGAGGAAUUCAAUUCGAAAUAAUCUUUGAUUGUUUGUUCUAUGUCCUCA
Gekko japonicus is the source of this 294-nucleotide long non-coding RNA. RefSeq lists it as uncharacterized. The transcript is spliced from 3 exons. The record is from RefSeq and is a predicted model, not a curated record. Lineage: Eukaryota; Metazoa; Chordata; Lepidosauria; Squamata; Gekkonidae.